RNA transcript from Lytechinus pictus (painted urchin), 5501 nucleotides. It is a transcript of the gene named glycine N-methyltransferase-like, with no coding region annotated. Lineage: Eukaryota; Metazoa; Echinodermata; Echinoidea; Temnopleuroida; Toxopneustidae. The transcript is spliced from 6 exons. The record is from RefSeq and is a predicted model, not a curated record.
AGAAAACUGUACCGUAUUGCGUAAAUUACCAUACCGUAUUGCAUAACGCAAUUGCCGUUACCUAUAUAUCGGUAUCCAUACUUCAUCGAAACACAAACGAAGUGCGGUGUCAUCGCGUUUUUGCUCGAGUCGAAAGCCUUUUUAAUUUCAUUUUCGACAUCAUCUAGAUUUGAGUUUUGAAGUAAAAAUGGUUGAUAGUAUCUAUCGUACUCGUUCUUUGGGAGUCGCGUCAGAGGGUAUUCCCGACCAGUAUGCAGAUGGAAAAGCAGCGAAAGUUUGGGAAUUCUACAUCGGCGGCCGCAAUGAAAGGAUAGACGUUUAUCGGAGCUGGAUCACCCAGCUGCUCCGGGAGAAGAAUUGCAAGCGUGUGCUUGACGUCGCUUGUGGUACUGGUAUUGAUUCUGUGAUGUUACUGGAGGAGGGAUUUGAGGUGGUUAGCGUUGAUGCCUCUGACAAAAUGAUAAUGCAGGCUUUCAGGGAACGAUGGAGUCGUCGCAAAGAGGAUGCUUUUGAUAAAUGGGAAAUUGAGGUAGCCAAUUGGUUGACCCUUCCAGAUGAUCUGCCAUCGCAAGAAGGCAAGUUUGAUGCUGUUAUCUGUCUGGGAAACUCCUUUGCCAACCUGCCAGACUUUGAGGGAAAUCUGUCCAACCAGCGCUUGGCCCUCAAGAAUUUUGCAGAUUUCCUUCGUCCCGGUGGGAUGAUGAUUAUUGACCACAGGAAUUAUGAUGCCAUCUUGGAUACUGGCCGUGCCCCUGUCCACAAUAUCUAUUAUCAUGGUAAUUGUAUCAAGGACAUCCAGACUUCUACCCUCUACGUCAAUGGUAGACCUUCCAUGGUUACCCUGGAUUACUUCAUCGACAUCAACGUUGCUAAAGAGGAUAUCAAGAAGAAAGGACAACUUUCAAAGAAGAAACUGGAGUUUGAGCCUGUCCAACCCAUUAUGAAGUUCCGUCUGUCUUAUUACCCACACCGGCUGAAUGCAUUCACGGAGCUCCUCAAGGAAGCCUUUGGUGCCGAGUGCAAACAUGAACUUCUUGCCGACUUUAAGAAACCCAGUGAAGUUGCCCACCCGGCAUACUACAUACACUGCAUUGAAAAACCAUUCUAGUCCAUGGUCUUACUCUACAGUAGGAGCUCUGCACUUCAUAUCAGAAUAAGCUCUGAGACAUGGAUGAGGGUUAGGUUGAGUAUUGAGCUUGGAGUCCAUGGUGGAAGUACAAAGGUGUUUUAUGCAGUUUCUUGAGAGAAUUGUGAUUAUUUUCUUGGUAAACUUGCAAUUGAUUUAGCUGAUCACUUAAAAAGAUCAAAUCAUGAAUGUGCACUUUGGGAAGGUGUGGCUAAUAAAUGUUUUUUGCUAUGGUUAAAUAGGAUCUAUCUAACAAAUGAAAAUUUCCACUCUUUUCUUCACUUAUCUUAGUGAUCUCGAUUAUGAGGAUAUAUGCAUGGAAAUAUUCUUUAAAAUUUGAUCACAGUGUCUGAUCAUAAGCAAUCAACUAGGACUGCCUAAAUGUACUUUAUCUUGGAUCCUACCUCAGACUGGCUUAAACUAGGCUAACCGAUAUUUGAGUCUUCCCUUUUAAAAGUGCUUGAAUGUUAUAGAAUGAGUAGGAUAUACUGGGGAGUUUGCAAAUGAAGUACUGAGAAUAUACUUCUUAAUUGUAUUAAUCGAUAAAAAAUGUGUUGCAUGUGGAUUUUAAUAGUCAUCUUCAUUCAGAAUGAAGUAUUCAGUUGUUUAAUGCUGUAUUCACUUAAGUAGAGAUUGUUUGUAUGCAAAUUUGCUAAUUUGCAUGUAUAAACAGUGAUUAAGAAGUUUAAAUUACAUCGCCAAUUUAGUGAAUAUAGUGAUAUAUUCAUUUUUUGUUCCAUUUACUGAAAGAUACUGAUGCAUUGAAAAUGGUUGCAGUAUGUCAAUAUAUAUAUAUAUUUUUCUUUUGAUGUAGUUUGCAUCAUUUUUAGAGUUGUGCAUCAAAAGUUAUUGGACCAAAUCACAAAAUAUGGUCAAUUGUCCCUGGUGGUUAAAAGCUGGCAUGGUGUAUGCAGGUGCACACGGUGCACUUGCAUUUUAACCUAUACAUAAUUAAAGUGACAUUAGUAGAUCCUUCGGUUAUUUUCAAUUGGUCUAAUGCCAAUUCGUCUAAUUACCAUCUCGUCUACUAUCAUUUGGUCUACCAUCAGUUCGUCCUCUAUCCACAGGGUCUAAUUGCUAUUUCUUCUAAUAACCAGUUGGUCCAUAUACCAUUUGGUCUAAUUGGACUAAGUGUUAAUUGGCAAAAUGAAUGAAAAGAAAAUGGGUAUUAGACCAACUGGUUAUGAAACAAAGUGGUCAUAGACAAAGUAAUUAUUGGUCCAAAUGGUUGUUAGAUGAAAUGUUGAUGGACGGAAUGGCAUUAGACUAAAUAAGGUAGACUAUGUGAGGAUUGGACAAGUUGGCAAUAGACGAAUUGGAAAUUUACUGAUCCUUCAUAUAGAUGAUGUGGAAUAUGUAAAAAAAUGUGUCCCUCUCCUUACAGCAUACAUGUAUAAUCAUACUUAAUAAGAAUACUUUUGAUCUGUCAGCAUAACUCUGCAGUAUUAAGCUGGUUUGACGGUACAACCUGUAAAUGGGCAGAUACCUGUAUAUAUGCAAAUGUUUGUACCAAAAUAGUAAAUCCUACAGAGAUAAAAACCUGAUCUGUGGUCACAAACAUUAUGCAAUUAUUUAUCCAAUCCGUGUACAUAUUUGCACCACAGGGACAGCCUUUGCAGGUUGAAUUUUCGAUAUGAUGUACUAUUCCUAAAUACUUGUGAGAUUGUGCUUGUAGGCAACCUGUUAAAAUGCAUGGAGUUGAACAUUCCCAUGUUUUAGAAAACCUGUGAAUACCGUUCAAGGUCAUUUGUGCCAACACAAUCCAUCCUAUUCUAGAGAUAUUUCCUCGAUCUGUUUAUUUGGCAAAGACAUAACAAUCAAAGCUUGUGAUUGGAUUUAGGAUUACGGUUUAAUAUGAGUACAAUGCAUAUGGAGAUCAUGUAGUAUUCAAUUGUGCAGGGCCAGUUUCAUAAAAUUGUUAAUAAAGUUAUGCAUAAGUUCAUUAAAAACUGGAAUAUGGUGUGCAAUAUUUGACCAAAGUUUUGCUGUAUAAUUACAUCUAAACUUGGGCAAAUAUUUUUCUUGUACGGUUUGUUCACAGUAAGAAUGUCUUCAUCUGCAUUACUUAAGCAAUGCAUUUAAAAAUGAAUGAGAGCUUUAUUUGUAACUUUUGAACACCUUUAUGAAAUUGCUUUUGUGUACAUUUCUUUAAGAGUAUGCAAAAUUGCAAUUGCAAUGAAACUUGUCUAUAUAGACCAUGCAAGGGAAACAAGAACAAGUUUGACAGUAAUUUUUUUAGAACUGAAGAUGGAAUAAUGUCCAACAAUGUUGAAACCAUAAAAGUGAUUUCAAAAUGGCAGUAGCACUGAGCAAAUGUCAUUUAUAUGAUAAAAUGAUACAUAUCAUAAAUGCUAUUAAAGCAAAAACUGACUUAUCUCACAGGAUGUCAUUUUCUCUGGUUAUGUACCAUAUGGAUUUGAUAUUCUGAUGUCAGUUGCUGGUUUCAUUCUCCUUUAAUGUGCAAUAAGAUUUUGCUUCAUGUGUUGUUAACUUGUUAAUUUUACUGUGUUGGGAGAUAUUAUUUCAAACAUAAGUGUCUUUAUAAAUGAGUCUGACACAUGUAAUCAUGUUUAAAAUCUAUAAAAAAAAAUUUUGAGUAAAACAUUUGGUCAACUUUUGGGAUAAAAGGGAGCAUGCAUAUUUGUAGGGUAAAAUUUUGUCCCAUAAUGUGUAAAAUAUAUUUCUAUUGGAGUAUCGGCAAUUCUUAAGCAACAUCAGGAAGAGAUUGCCGAGCGUUAAGUUUCAUUUUACCCAAUAAACAUGCAUUUUAUCCUUUUAUCUAAUAUUGAUUGAUUUUUUUAAAAGUUUCAUUAGGUUCAAAGAAAAGUGAAGUGAAAAAGGUAAAAAAAAAAUUAGAAAAUUAGAGCUUGGUCUAUGAGCAUAUUUUUAAAAAAUAUAUAAGCAUUUUUAUUCUUUCAAAGGAUUUUAAAAUGAAUAGAAAGACAUGAAGGUCUUGUCAUACAUUUUCCUUUUUGAGCGAGACUUUUUGAUAUCUGCACAAAGUAUGUGUUGGGUGUUUAGCAUAAUGGCAUAAUGAGCUUUGCAUGUUUAAAUUAUUCUUCUUGUGAGAGAGAUAUGUCUUAUUUGAGGCCAUUUUGAAUGCUGUGUGUGUGUUUGAGGUCACAAGUGUGAAGUUUGAAUGAAAAGUGUUAUAUUAUAUUUUCAUAGCUUUCAAUUUGAAUAUUGAAUGGUGUAGGGUUUUGCUUCCCGAGAAAGUAGUCCUUGGAUUAAACUAAGAUUGGUAUAAUCUAAUAGUCUUGCUUUUAAUAGAAGUUAUACAUAUUUCAUUGAUUAUAAAACAAUUUGUUUAGGCACAAUGUAUCAGCAGUCCAUAUAUUAUGUAUGUCCUUUCUGGAAUGUAUGGUUCUUGUGGGGCCCCGGACUUUCGAAAGACUCAAAUCAAAUUUUAAAUUGCUAUUUAUCUUACUUUAUUCAAGUAAGAUAAUUGGCAAACUUUAUUCAUGUCAUUUCCUUGUUUUUCUUGUUUUCUCUCCCUUCAAGUGAAAUGUUAUUAUAAUCAGUGUAGAUCUUGUGAUUUAGGGUAAAAAUUACAAAAAUUUCACAUCAAUUAUCUUUUAAAUCAGUUGUUAUAUUCUUUGGAUCAAGUUCUCCAAAAUUUACAAUGUAAAUAUAGUUAACUUUGUCCCCGUUUAUCCACAUUAGUUUAAACAUCUUUGUUUGUAUGAUGAAUAUCAAUCCAUACGUAAAGAAAUUUGUUUAAAUCAAAAUGUUUUUCUUGUAUUUAGUUGAGUUUUUUUUUGCCUUUACACAGUUCCACUAUUUAAGUCUUUAUCCAUUUUUUCUUGGUUACAGUACAACUUUCUAUUCUACAUUCCUUUAUGUUGUAUUAUUUUUGUAAAUUUAAAUGAUUUAGUAAAUUUUGAUAUAACACAUGUUUAUUUGCUUUGUGUUUUAAUAAUAAUGCAGUACUCCGAUGGAAGCAUACCAGCCUCAUGAUGGACAUAAAAAAUGAAACGCACUAGACAAAGAAAUAAAGGAAAUGCUUAAUCGUGAACUGAUAUUUUUGUGUGUUACUAUCUCUUUGGCAACUUUGGUUAUUGCACUCAAUUAAUUCUUAGAUUGGCCUGCAUUGGAUGAAUGAUUGUUCUAAAAUUUAGUUUAGUCAAUUAUUAAUUGUCACGCAUAUAUAUAUAAAUAGAAAUAUGUUUAGAUAUAUAUAAAACAGAAUAAGUAGACAUAUUGCAUUGUAAAAAUGUAGAAUAUAAUUUAAAACUUGGGUGUAUCUUCAUCAGUGUGCAUUCCAGUAAGUAACAACUUCGUAUCAAGCAUGUGUAAAUAAUGUGUACAUAAUGAAAAACUUUAUUCUUAUUGAAAAAAUGAACACUUAAUAAAUAUCAAUCGUUUAGAUCCACAA